GCCUUAUGAGAGGCCAUCAUUUGCCCAGAUAUUGGUGUCCUUAAACAGAAUGUUAGAGGAGCGAAAGACCUACGUGAAUACCACGCUUUAUGAGAAGUUUACUUAUGCAGGAAUUGACUGUUCUGCUGAAGAAGCGGCCUAGGACAGAACAUCUGUAUACCCUCUGUUUCCCUUUCACUGGCAUGGGAGACCCUUGACACCUGCUGAGAAAACAUGCCUCUGCCAAAGGAUGUGAUAUAUAAGUGUACAUAUGUGCUGUACACCUGGGACCUUCACCACUGUAGAUCCCAUGCAUGGAUCUAUGUAGUAUGCUCUGACUCUAAUAGGACUGUAUAUACUGUUUUAAGAAUGGGCUGAAAUCAGAAUGCCUGUUUGUGGUUUCAUAUGCAAUAAUAUAUUUUUUUAAAAAUGUGGACUUCAUAGGAAGGCGUGAGUACAAUUAGUAUAAUGCAUAACUCAUUGUUGUCCUAGAUAUUUUGAUAUUUACCUUUAUGUUGAAUGCUAUUAAAUGUUUUCCUGUGUCAAAGUAAAAUAUUGUUAAUAAACCUAACAAUGACCCUGAUAGUACAGGUUAAGUGAGAGAACUAUAUGAAUUCUAACAAGUCAUAGGUUAAUAUUUAAGACACUGAAAAAUCUAAGUGAUAUAAAUCAGAUUCUUCUCUCUCAAUUUUAUCCCUCACCUGUAGCAGCCAGUCCCGUUUCAUUUAGUCAUGUGACCACUCUGUCUUGUGUUUCCACAGCCUGCAAGUCAGUCCAGGAUGCUAACAUCUAAAAAUAGACUUAAAUCUCAUUGCUUACAAGCCUAAGAAUCUUUAGAGAAGUAUACAUAAGUUUAGGAUAAAAUAAUGGGAUUUUCUUUUCUUUUCUCUGGUAAUAUUGACUUGUAUAUUUUAAGAAAUAACAGAAAGCCUGGGUGACAUUUGGGAGACAUGUGACAUUUAUAUAUUGAAUUAAUAUCCCUACAUGUAUUGCACAUUGUAAAAAGUUUUAGUUUUGAUGAGUUGUGAGUUUACCUUGUAUACUGUAGGCACACUUUGCACUGAUAUAUCAUGAGUGAAUAAAUGUCUUGCCUACUC
Molecule: long non-coding RNA, 1076 nt
Filed under: Homo sapiens (human)
Lineage: Eukaryota; Metazoa; Chordata; Mammalia; Primates; Hominidae
Description: HSALNT0147758
Source: RNAcentral